Oncorhynchus keta (chum salmon) is the source of this 3565-nucleotide long non-coding RNA. RefSeq lists it as uncharacterized. The transcript has 3 exons. The record is from RefSeq and is a predicted model, not a curated record. Lineage: Eukaryota; Metazoa; Chordata; Actinopteri; Salmoniformes; Salmonidae.
CCAGUCCACACACAUCCACCCCUCCACACAGGGCUGACUGGCCCAGUCCACACACAUCCACCCCUCCACACAGGGCUGACUGGCCCAGUCCACACACAUCCACCCCUCCACACAGGGCUGACUGGCCCAGUCCACACACAUCCACCCCUCCACACAGGGCUGACUGGCCCAGUCCACACACAUCCACCCCUCCACACAGGGCUGACUGGCCCAGCCCACACACAUCCACCCCUCCACACAGGGCUGACUGGCCCAGCCCACACACAUCCACCCCUCCACACAGAGCUGACUGGCCCAGUCCACACACAUCCACCCCUCCACACAGGGCUGACUGGCCCAGUCCACACACAUCCACCCCUCCACACAGGGCUGACUGGCCCAGUCCACACACAUCCACCCCUCCACACAGGGCUGACUGGCCCAGUCCACACACAUCCACCCCUCCACACAGGGCUGACUGGCCCAGUCCACACACAUCCACCCCUCCAUACAGACCACCAACACCUGGAUCCGUCCGCAGCAGCAGCCAUGAUGAAACCCUACUCCAUGGACCCUGCCCCAACCCCAAGGCAAGCCAGCCUCAGCACCUCUCCGCCCCACGUCCCAGCAGAAAGCCCCCCACAGACAGACGUCUCCCCACCAGGCAAGAAAAAGAAAGGCUUGUUCUCCAAAGGGAAGAAGCUUUUCAAGAAGCUGGGAUCCAGCAAGAAGGAUUGAAACUUGGGACAUUUACCAACUCAUUGCAGUUUUUGUUGAAAACACUUUUAUAUCAUUAUCGGUCUUGGUUGUCUUGAGCUAUGCUGUUAGUUUAGUUGUAAUAUUCAGUAACUAUGGAUACACUAAGAUAUUAUACAGCUGAAUACACCUCUUCGAUAUAAUACUAUUAGACGAGCUGGCAAUAUGUGGAGGGUAUUUUGUGUGUAUCUGAAAUGGCACCCUAUUCCCUAUAUAGUGCACUACUAUAACACCCUAUUCCCUAUAUAGUGCACUACUAUAGCACCCUAUUCCCUAUAUAGUGCACUAUUAUAGCACCCUGUUCCCUAUAUAGUGCACUACUAUAGCACCCUGUUCCCUAUAUAGUGCACUACUAUAGCACCCUAUUCCCUAUAUAGUGCACUACUAUAGCACCCUGUUCCCUAUAUAGUGCACUACUAUAGCACCCUAUUCCCUAUAUAGUGCACUACUAUAGCACCCUAUUCCCUAUAUAGUGCACUACUAUAGCACCCUAUUCCCUAUAUAGUGCACUACUAUAGCACCCUACUCCCUAUAUAGUGCACUACUAUAGCACCCUAUUCCCUAUAUAGUGCACUACUAUAGCACCCUACUCCCUAUAUAGUGCACUACUAUAGCACCCUACUCCCUAUUUAGUGCACUACUAUAGCACCCUAUUCCCUAUUAUACUGCACUACUUUGGGAAUAGGGAGACAUUUCAGAUGCAACCAUUGCCGUAUAUAAGACGUGAUGGCAUCAAUUGAGCGCGUUGAAGUAUUUCAGCUCCUAACCUGUUCUGUGCUUACAGUAUUCCUCUGAGUACCCACUGAUUCUACGAUAACCUUUAGUAGUCCACUUUGUGAGGGGUUUCUCAUUCACCUUCAUCUGGCAGUAUUAUCUGGAAGGAUUUGAUCAGAUACUGAUGUUAAAAAUGGUGCUCUAGACUUUCAUUUAGACUCUCCAUCGUUGGCUUGGAGAGGCCCCAUGCAUCAUGUCCAGGUUAUGCUCCAACCACUGUCAGUUUAAACUGAGAGGACGGGCUUGGAGAGGCCCCAUGCAUCAUGUCCAGGUUACGCUCCAACCACUGUCAGUUUAAACUGAGAGGACGGGCUUGGAGAGGCCCCAUGCAUCAUGUCCAGGUUAUGCUCCAACCACUGUCAGUUUAAACUGAGAGGACGGGCUUGGAGAGGCCCCAUGCAUCAUGUCCAGGUUAUGCUCCAACCACUGUCAGUUUAAACUGAGAGGACGGGCUUGGAGAGGCCCCAUGCAUCAUGUCCAGGUUAUGCUCCAACCACUGUCAGUUUAAACUGAGAGGACGGGCUUGGAGAGGCCCCAUGCAUCAUGUCCAGGUUAUGCUCCAACCACUGUCAGUUUAAACUGAGAGGACGGGCUUGGAGAGGCCCCAUGCAUCAUGUCCAGGUUAUGCUCCAACCACUGUCAGUUUAAACUGAGAGGACGGGCUUGGAGAGGCCCCAUGCAUCAUGUCCAGGUUAUGCUCCAACCACUGUCAGUUUAAACUGAGAGGACGGGCUUGGAGAGGCCCCAUGCAUCAUGUCCAGGUUAUGCUCCAACCACUGUCAGUUUAAACUGAGAGGACGGGCUUGGAGAGGCCCCAUGCAUCAUGUCCAGGUUAUGCUCCAACCACUGUCAGUUUAAACUGAGAGGACGGGCUUGGAGAGGCCCCAUGCAUCAUGUCCAGGUUAUGCUCCAACCACAGUCAGUUUAAACUGAGAGGACGGGCUUGGAGAGGCCCCAUGCAUCAUGUCCAGGUUAUGCUCCAACCACUGUCAGUUUAAACUGAGAGGACGGGCUUGGAGAGGCCCCAUGCAUCAUGUCCAGGUUAUGCUCCAACCACUGUCAGUUUAAACUGAGAGGACGGGCUUGGAGAGGCCCCAUGCAUCAUGUCCAGGUUACGCUCCAACCACUGUCAGUUUAAACUGAGAGGACGGAAGAGGGUCCCUUCAUCUGUCAACUGUUGUCUCUCAACCCUGUCACUUUUCAGAUUGAUCUGGAAUGUAUUCUAUAAUGGAUGUAUUUUAACAUCAUUGAGUCUCAUAUCAAAAGUAUUAUAACUAGCUAACUAUAUAACAACAACAACAAAAAUAUGCUAAUUGUACACUUUGAGUCUUUCACUUGUUGUGAAGAUUUCACUACACAGUACAGCUGAAUGGAAGUUGUUCCUUCAACAACUGCAUCCAUUUCAUUACGAUUCAUAACCAACAAGUCAUUUCUUUUAGAGGGUGUUGAAGUUUGGAACGUUUGAUAUUUAGUGUGAGGAAGGACAGGCCUUGUGGUCUUCUAAAGUGUGAGGAUGGACAGAUGGACAGGCCUUGUGGUCCUCUAAAGUGUGAGGAAGGACAGGCCUUGUGGUCUUCUAAAGUGUGAGGAUGGACAGGCCUUGUGGUCUUCUAAAGUGUGAGGAUGGACAGGCCUUGUGGUCUUCUAAAGUGUGAGGAUGGACAGGCCUUGUGGUCUUCCAAAGUGUGAGGAUGGACAGGCCUUGUGGUCUUCUAAAGUGUGAGGAUGGACAGGCCUUGUGGUCUUCUAAAGUGUGAGGAUGGACAGGCCUUGUGGUCUUCCAAAGUGUGUGGAUGGACAGGCCUUGUGGUCUUCUAAAGUGUGUGGAUGGACAGGCCUUGUGGUCUUCUAAAGUGUGAGGAUGGACAGGCCUUGUGGUCUUCUAAAGUGUGAGGAUGGACAGGCCUUGUGGUCUUCUAAAGUGUUAGGAUGGACAGAUGGACAGGCCUUGUGGUCUUCUAAAGUGUGAGGAUGGACAGGCCUUGUGGUCUUCUAAAGUGUGAGGAUGGACAGGCCUUGUGGUCUUCUAAAGUGUGGGGAUGGACAGACCUUGUGG